Molecule: transfer RNA, 63 nt
Filed under: Diaphanoeca grandis
Lineage: Eukaryota; Choanoflagellata; Acanthoecida; Stephanoecidae
Source: RNAcentral
CGUUGGCGCAACGGGUAGUGACUCUGCCUCUUGCGCCGGGGGUCGUGGGUUCGAUUCCAACUC